GGGAUGUAGCUCAGAGGGAGAGCGCCUGCCUUGCAAGCAGGAGGUCGGCGGUUCGAAUCCGCUCAUCUCC
RNAcentral lists this transfer RNA (70 nucleotides) under Acetomicrobium hydrogeniformans. It matches the Rfam family "tRNA". Rfam says of the family: Transfer RNA (tRNA) molecules are approximately 80 nucleotides in length. Their secondary structure includes four short double-helical elements and three loops (D, anti-codon, and T loops). The record is from RNAcentral. Lineage: Bacteria; Thermotogati; Synergistota; Synergistia; Synergistales; Acetomicrobiaceae.